UACAAUGUACUCAUAUUAAAAAAAAAAAA
RNAcentral lists this non-coding RNA (29 nucleotides) under Mus musculus (house mouse). The record is from RNAcentral. Lineage: Eukaryota; Metazoa; Chordata; Mammalia; Rodentia; Muridae.